UAGGGAAUAUUGGACAAUGGGGGCAACCCUGAUCCAGCCAUGCCGCGUGAGUGAAGAAGGCCCUCGGGUUGUAAAGCUAUUUUGUCCGGAAAGAAAAGCAUUCGGUGAAUACCCGGAUGUUCUGACGGUACCGGAAGAAUAAGCACCGGCUAACUUCGUGCCAGCAGCCGCGGUAAUACGAAGGGUGCAAGCGUUACUCGGAAUUACUGGGCGUAAAGCGUGCGUAGGUGGUUG
RNAcentral lists this ribosomal RNA (234 nucleotides) under uncultured bacterium. RNAcentral's name for it is "partial 16S ribosomal RNA". It matches the Rfam family "Bacterial small subunit ribosomal RNA", at positions 355 to 581 of the family's 1533-position model. The record is from RNAcentral.